AGUGAACGCUGGCGGUAGGCCUAACACAUGCAAGUCGAACGGCAGCACAGUAAGAGCUUGCUCUUACGGGUGGCGAGUGGCGGACGGGUGAGGAAUACAUCGGAAUCUACUUUUUCGUGGGGGAUAACGUAGGGAAACUUACGCUAAUACAGCAUACGACCUACGGGUGAAAGCAGGGGAUCUUCGGACCUUGCGCGAUUGAAUGAGCCGAUGUCGGGUUAGCUAGUUGGCGGGGUAAAGGCCCACCAAGGCGACGAUCCGUAGCUGGUCUGAGAGGAUGAUCAGCCACACUGGAACUGAGACACGGUCCAGACUCCUACGGGAGGCAGCAGUGGGGAAUAUUGGACAAUGGGCGCAAGCCUGAUCCAGCCAUACCGCGUGGGUGAAGAAGGCCUUCGGGUUGUAAAGCCCUUUUGUUGGGAAAGAAAAGCAGCAGGUUAAUACCCCGCUGUUCUGACGGUACCCAAAGAAUAAGCACCGGCUAACUUCGUG
Molecule: ribosomal RNA, 492 nt
Filed under: uncultured bacterium
Lineage: Bacteria
Description: partial 16S ribosomal RNA
Rfam family: Bacterial small subunit ribosomal RNA
Source: RNAcentral